CUAAGAGCGAAUGGUGGAUGCCUUGACUGGUAAAGGCGAUGAAGGACGUACUAGACUGCGAUAAGCUACGGGGAGCUGUCAAGAAGCUUUGAUCCGUAGAUUUCCGAAUGGGGCAACCCAAUGUAUAGAGAUAUACAUUACCUAUAUAGGAGCGAACGAGGGGAAUUGAAACAUCUUAGUACCCUCAGGAAAAGAAAUCAAUAGAGAUUGCGUCAGUAGCGGCGAGCGAAAGCGCAAGAGGGCAAACCCAGUGCUUGCACUGGGGGUUGUAGGACUGCAAUGUGCAAGAGGUGAGUUUAGCAGAACAUUCUGGAAAGUAUAGCCAUAGAGGGUGAUAGUCCCGUAUGCGAAAAACAAACCUUAGCUAGCAGUAUCCUGAGUAGGGCGGGACACGAGAAAUCCUGUCUGAAGCUGGGUCGACCACGAUCCAACCCUAAAUACUAAUACCAGAUCGAUAGUGCACAAGUACCGUGAGGGAAAGGUGAAAAGAACUGAGGUGAUCAGAGUGAAAUAGAACCUGAAACCAUUUGCUUACAAUCAUUCAGAGCACUAUGUAGCAAUACAGUGUGAUGGACUGCCUUUUGCAUAAUGAGCCUGCGAGUUGUGGUGUCUGGCAAGGUUAAGCAAACGCGAAGCCGUAGCGAAAGCGAGUCUGAAUAGGGCGCUUAGUCAGAUGCUGCAGACCCGAAACGAAGUGAUCUAUCCAUGAGCAAGUUGAAGCUAGUGUAAGAACUAGUGGAGGACUGAACCCAUAGGCGUUGAAAAGCCCCGGGAUGACUUGUGGAUAGGGGUGAAAGGCCAAUCAAACUUCGUGAUAGCUGGUUCUCUCCGAAAUAUAUUUAGGUAUAGCGUUGUGUCGUAAUAUAAGGGGGUAGAGCACUGAAUGGGCUAGGGCAUACACCAAUGUACCAAACCCUAUCAAACUCCGAAUACCUUAUAUGUAAUCACAGCAGUCAGGCGGCGAGUGAUAAAAUCCGUCGUCAAGAGGGAAACAACCCAGACUACCAGCUAAGGUCCCUAAAUCUUACUUAAGUGGAAAACGAUGUGAAGUUACUUAAACAACCAGGAGGUUGGCUUAGAAGCAGCCAUCCUUUAAAGAAAGCGUAAUAGCUCACUGGUCUAGUGAUUUUGCGCGGAAAAUAUAACGGGGCUAAAGUAAGUACCGAAGCUGUAGACUUGACUUUGUCAAGUGGUAGGAGAGCGUUCUAUUUGCGUCGAAGGUAUACCGGUAAGGAGUGCUGGAGCGAAUAGAAGUGAGCAUGCAGGCAUGAGUAGCGAUAAUUAAUGUGAGAAUCAUUAACGCCGUAAACCCAAGGUUUCCUACGCGAUGCUCGUCAUCGUAGGGUUAGUCGGGUCCUAAGUCGAGUCCGAAAGGGGUAGACGAUGGCAAAUUGGUUAAUAUUCCAAUACCAACAUUAGUGUGCGAUGGAAGGACGCUUAGGGCUAAGGGGGCUAGCGGAUGGAAGUGCUAGUCUAAGGUCGUAGGUGCUUAUACAGGCAAAUCCGUAUAAGAAUACACCGAGAACUGAAAGGCUUUUUGAAGUCUUCGGAUGGAUAGAAGAACCCCUGAUGCCGUCGAGCCAAGAAAAGUUUCUAAGUUUAGCUAAUGUUGCCCGUACCGUAAACCGACACAGGUGGGUGGGAUGAGUAUUCUAAGGCGCGUGGAAGAACUCUCUUUAAGGAACUCUGCAAAAUAGCACCGUAUCUUCGGUAUAAGGUGUGGUUCGCUUCGUAUUAGGAUUUACUCCGAAAGCGAAGAAACUUACAACAAAGAGUCCCUCCCGACUGUUUACCAAAAACACAGCACUCUGCUAACUCGUAAGAGGAUGUAUAGGGUGUGACGCCUGCCCGGUGCUCGAAGGUUAAUUGAUGGGGUUAGCAUUAGCGAAGCUCUUGAUCGAAGCCCGAGUAAACGGCGGCCGUAACUAUAACGGUCCUAAGGUAGCGAAAUUCCUUGUCGGUUAAAUACCGACCUGCAUGAAUGGCGUAACGAGAUGGGAGCUGUCUCAAAGAGGGAUCCAGUGAAAUUGUAGUGGAGGUGAAAAUUCCUCCUACCCGCGGCAAGACGGAAAGACCCCGUGGACCUUUACUACAGCUUGACACUGCUAUUUGGAUAAGAAUGUGCAGGAUAGGUGGGAGGCUUUGAGUAUAUGACGCCAGUUGUAUAUGAGCCAUUGUUGAGAUACCACUCUUUCUUAUUUGGGUAGCUAACCAGCUUGAGUUAUCCUCAAGUGGGACAAUGUCUGGUGGGUAGUUUGACUGGGGCGGUCGCCUCCCAAAUAAUAACGGAGGCUUACAAAGGUUGGCUCAGAACGGUUGGAAAUCGUUCGUAGAGUAUAAAGGUAUAAGCCAGCUUAACUGCAAGACAUACAAGUCAAGCAGAGACGAAAGUCGGUCUUAGUGAUCCGGUGGUUCUGUGUGGAAGGGCCAUCGCUCAAAGGAUAAAAGGUACCCCGGGGAUAACAGGCUGAUCUCCCCCAAGAGCUCACAUCGACGGGGAGGUUUGGCACCUCGAUGUCGGCUCAUCGCAUCCUGGGGCUGGAGCAGGUCCCAAGGGUAUGGCUGUUCGCCAUUUAAAGCGGUACGCGAGCUGGGUUCAGAACGUCGUGAGACAGUUCGGUCCCUAUCUGCCGUGGGCGUAAGAAGAUUGAAGAGAUUUGACCCUAGUACGAGAGGACCGGGUUGAACAAACCACUGGUGUAGCUGUUGUUCUGCCAAGAGCAUCGCAGCGUAGCUAAGUUUGGAAAGGAUAAACGCUGAAAGCAUCUAAGCGUGAAGCCAACUCUAAGAUGAAUCUUCUCUAAGCUCUCUAGAAGACUACUAGUUUGAUAGGCUGGGUGUGUAAUGGAUGAAAGUCCUUUAGCUGACCAGUACUAAUAGAGCGUUUGGCUUAUCU
This 2896-nucleotide ribosomal RNA is filed under the name Campylobacter coli. RNAcentral's name for it is "bacterial LSU rRNA". It matches the Rfam family "Bacterial large subunit ribosomal RNA". The record is from RNAcentral. Lineage: Bacteria; Pseudomonadati; Campylobacterota; Epsilonproteobacteria; Campylobacterales; Campylobacteraceae.